GACGAACGCUGGCGGCGUGCUUAACACAUGCAAGUCGAACGGAAAGGCCCUGCUUUUGUGGGGUGCUCGAGUGGCGAACGGGUGAGUAACACGUGAGUAACCUGCCCUUGACUUUGGGAUAACUUCAGGAAACUGGGGCUAAUACCGGAUAGGAGCUCCUGCUGCAUGGUGGGGGUUGGAAAGUUUCGGCGGUUGGGGAUGGACUCGCGGCUUAUCAGCUUGUUGGUGGGGUAGUGGCUUACCAAGGCUUUGACGGGUAGCCGGCCUGAGAGGGUGACCGGCCACAUCGGGACUGAGAUGCGGACCAGACUCCUACGGGAGGCAGCAGUGGGGAACAUUGCACAAUGGGCGGAAGCCUGAUGCAGCAACGCCGCGUGCGGGAUGACGGCCUUCGGGUUGUAAACCGCUUUCGACUGUGACGAAGCGUGAGUGACGGUAAUGGGUAAAGAAGCACCGGCUAACUACGUG
Molecule: ribosomal RNA, 468 nt
Filed under: uncultured bacterium
Lineage: Bacteria
Description: partial 16S ribosomal RNA
Rfam family: Bacterial small subunit ribosomal RNA
Source: RNAcentral